RNAcentral lists this ribosomal RNA (225 nucleotides) under Triticum aestivum (bread wheat). RNAcentral describes it as "partial small subunit ribosomal RNA". Lineage: Eukaryota; Viridiplantae; Streptophyta; Magnoliopsida; Poales; Poaceae. The record is from RNAcentral.
AUGAGUUCACUAGUUUGGAACUGCCGGGAGGGGGGGGGGAACCGUCGGACAGUUCGUGAGCUUUUGGCCCUCUGCAAAGCCAAUUUCCCGGGGUUGGUUUUUCUCUCUGAAACUAGACAAGCCUCAAGCAAAAUUGAAAAGCUUAAAUGGAGAUUGCAAAUGAAGGGUUUUGCGGGUGUAUCAAGUGAUGGUUUGAGUGGGGGUUUGGCCCUAUUUUGGGAUGAG